Molecule: ribosomal RNA, 496 nt
Filed under: uncultured bacterium
Lineage: Bacteria
Description: partial 16S ribosomal RNA
Rfam family: Bacterial small subunit ribosomal RNA
Source: RNAcentral
GACGAACGCUGGCGGCGUGCCUAAUACAUGCAAGUUGAGCGCUGAAGGUUGGUACUUGUACCAACUGGAUGAGCAGCGAACGGGUGAGUAACGCGUGGGGAAUCUGCCUUUGAGCGGGGGACAACAUUUGGAAACGAAUGCUAAUACCGCAUAAAAACUUUAAACACAAGUUUUAAGUUUGAAAGAUGCAAUUGCAUCACUCAAAGAUGAUCCCGCGUUGUAUUAGCUAGUUGGUGAGGUAAAGGCUCACCAAGGCGAUGAUACAUAGCCGACCUGAGAGGGUGGUCGGCCACAUUGGGACUGAGACACGGCCCAAACUCCUGCGGGGGGCAGCGGUAGGGAAUCUUCGGCAAUGGACGAAAGUCUGACCGGGCACCGCGGGGGGAGUGAAGAAGGUUUUCGGAUCGUAAAACUCUGUUGGUAGGAAAGAAGGUUGGUGGGAGUGGAAGACCCAUCAAGUGACGGUACCCACCCAGAAGGGGCCGGCUAACUACGU